This 466-nucleotide long non-coding RNA is filed under the name Rattus norvegicus (Norway rat). RNAcentral describes it as "long non-coding RNA NONRATT033784". The record is from RNAcentral. Lineage: Eukaryota; Metazoa; Chordata; Mammalia; Rodentia; Muridae.
CACUCCUGUCCCUCAGAGUGACUGCCCCUCUUUCUUCCUCUUCUUUUUACUCAGCUUCAUGAUGAUCCUGAGACUUGUCCUGCUGCUGCUGUAGCAUCCAGAGAAGCGGAGAGCCAAACUCCCACCAUGCUGCUGGGCCUGGCAGAGCAGGGGCUGGAUAUUUUUUACUUUCGACAAUUCCAAACACUUAUCACUCAGAUAAGUUUAAGUUAAAUUGCAACCUGUCAGAGGAUGGGACUCCUGGAGUGGACCACAGGGACUGCGAAGGAGCUGUGUGUGACUUUGUACAUUAGGGGUUCUAUCUGCAUUGUUGGGGGUGGAGUGUGUUUGUAUUGAAGGAAUUCUGUUCUCAGCACAUCAACGUCCUGACAGAAUGUACUCAGUAUUCAAAUAAAAUGCAUCGUAUUCUAAGUCACUUCUGUGUCUGUGUCUUUUCUAGAAACUCAGUCACUCAAUCAUGUUGAAC